ACUCCUACGGGAGGCAGCAGUGGGGAAUAUUGGACAAUGGGGGAAACCCUGAUCCAGCCAUGCCGCGUGUGUGAAGAAGGCCUUCGGGUUGUAAAGCACUUUCAGUGGGGAGGAAAGGUUGAUGGUUAAUACCUAUCAGCUGUGACGUUACCCACAGAAGAAGCACCGGCUAACUCCGUGCCAGCAGCCGCGGUAAUACGGAGGGUGCAAGCGUUAAUCGGAAUUACUGGGCGUAAAGCGCGUGUAGGUGGCUUGUUAAGCCAGAUGUGAAAGCCCGGGGCUUAACCUCGGAAUUGCAUUUGAAACUGGCAGGCUAGAGUCUUGUAGAGGGGGGUAGAAUUUCAGGUGUAGCGGUGAAAUGCGUAGAGAUCUGAAGGAAUACCAGUGGCGAAGGCGGCCCCCUGGCACAAAGACUGACGCUCAGAUGCGAAAGCGUGGGGAGCAAACGAGG
RNAcentral lists this ribosomal RNA (451 nucleotides) under uncultured bacterium. Its description in RNAcentral is "bacterial SSU rRNA". It matches the Rfam family "Bacterial small subunit ribosomal RNA", at positions 335 to 777 of the family's 1533-position model. The record is from RNAcentral.